AGGAGUUUUUGUUUAGAACCACAGAACAUGAUUUUCUAUCAAACAAUAUCUUGCCUAAUGGGUGUUUUCUGCAGUAGGAGUUUCCGUUCUAUGUAUAUAUGAUGUAUUGCAAAAUAUAUUUGUUUUUUGUGUACAAUUUGUCUCCGUACACCUUCCUUUUCUCUCCGUACAACCAACGUUGGCCAACGUUCCUUUUUCCACCGGCCAAACAAGUAUUCGCCGUUUCCAGCAAACGUAAUUUCAGGCGGAGACGAGUUCCGGCAAAGGUAAUUUCAGGCGGAGACGAGUUCCGGCCAAACAACGUUCCCGGUUGCCGUCUCCGAUGUAAAGAAGAGACGAGUUUCCGGCAAAGGUAAUUUCAGCAACCUCCGGUUGUCAUCAGCGACGUUGCCUUCUCCGGUAAAUUUCUCUGUUGUUGCUGGUCACCAGCGAUCUACUUGGCUUCAUAUCCGGUCACAAAUCCAGGUUGAAAGUGUGAGGGUGGUAUGUGAAAGUUCAGAAGGGUUGCGAUCAUCACUUGGCUUUCUUGUGGACUAUAGUGAAACAUUGUUUGUGCUGGAGUAUAAAAUAGAGAUCAUCAGUUGUGAGAAUCAUAAUCCCCCAAUUCUCUCUCGUUUACACACCUACAACACACAGUUCUCUCAAUCCAUUCAAGAUGUUCAAUCCGUUCGAGUUGUUAUGAUCUGAUGAAGUUAUGUUGUGAGUCUUGUUCAGUUAUUGAUCCGAUUGUGGAUCAAUUAUCGUCGUUGGUCUGAUUAUUGUUGUGCAUCAGCCUUGUUUAGGUCUGAUUUGUGUUGGUCCAGUGUUGGAUCUUUCAGUUUUUAGUUUUUUCUUUAUAUGAUCAACUGAUAUUUUAUCAGUUGAUCCUAUAUUUUGUAUAUGCUUGAUUUCUGAUCUCACAUAUGUGAGAUCUAGGGUUUGGGGGGUGUUUUUGGUUUGGGUUGAUUAAUAAAAUUUUCGUCACCAGUUUUUGUCGC
This is a long non-coding RNA of Helianthus annuus (common sunflower), 977 nucleotides long. RefSeq lists it as uncharacterized. The transcript has 2 exons. NCBI's taxonomy places the organism in Eukaryota, Viridiplantae, Streptophyta, Magnoliopsida, Asterales, Asteraceae. The record is from RefSeq and is a predicted model, not a curated record.